UACGUAGGGGGCAAGCGUUGUCCGGAAUCAUUGGGCGUAAAGCGCGUGUAGGCGGCCAGAAAAGUCCGCUGUGAAAACUCGAGGCUCAACUUCGAGCUGUCGGUGGAAACUUUCUGGCUAGAGUCCGGAAGAGGAGAAUGGAAUUCCUGGUGUAGCGGUGAAAUGCGCAGAUAUCGGGAGGAACACCAGUGGCGAAGGCGGUUGCCUGGAGCUUUGCUGACGCUGAGGCGCGAAAGCGUGGGGAGCGAUCCGG
RNAcentral lists this ribosomal RNA (253 nucleotides) under uncultured bacterium. RNAcentral's name for it is "partial 16S ribosomal RNA". It matches the Rfam family "Bacterial small subunit ribosomal RNA", at positions 524 to 776 of the family's 1533-position model. The record is from RNAcentral.